UACGAAGGGUGCAAGCGUUGUUCGGAAUUACUGGGCGUAAAGCGCGCGUAGGCGGGUCUGUGUGUCGAUUGUGAAAGCCCUGGGCUUAACCUGGGAAUGGCAGUCGAAACUGCAGAUCUUGAAUGUCUGAGAGGAUGGCGGAAUUCCCGGUGUAGUAGUGAAAUACGUAGAUAUCGGGAAGAACACCUGAGGCGAAGGCGGCUAUCUGGCGGUACAUUGACGCUGAUGCGCGAAAGCGUGGGGAGCAAACAGG
Molecule: ribosomal RNA, 253 nt
Filed under: uncultured bacterium
Lineage: Bacteria
Description: partial 16S ribosomal RNA
Rfam family: Bacterial small subunit ribosomal RNA
Source: RNAcentral